AAAGAAAAAGAAGCCCACUAAAACAGCAUACUCUCCACACCCAAAUGAAGGAAGGUCAAAACCAGAUGGGUUGUAUCUAUAUAUGUAUAUGUAUAUAUAUAAAAUAUAUAGAAUAUAUAAUCAAAUAGAGACAAGUGAAAAAACCAUUGAAGGAAUCUAAAAUAAUGGUUGAAGAAAGGAAAGGUGAAAAUGGGAAAAGGAGAGAGAGAGAGAGAGAGAGAGAGAGAGGAGGCUGUUUCUCUCUACAAGACUUGUUUCUUCUUUCUUAUUGUUUUUGGGUUUGAAGUAAAUGUUUCAGCUUUUCUUACUUCUAUAUUAUUUAUUUAUAUUAUAUAUUUAUUAUAUACUUAUUUCUCUAUAUGUUUCUUCUUUCCAAUUUCCUUUUUUUUUUUCUCCACCAUAAAAUCAAAUAAAUUGCAAAAAUUUGAUUAAAUUUAUUACUUUUAAUAAAUAAAAAAAAUUAUGCUCCAUGAAAGAAUUUUAUUAGUAAUAAUGCCUUUUGUGUGGGUGUGUGUUGACCAAGGACUUUUUCAGUUUGUGUGUACAUUUUUUCAAACCCUUAACAAAAAAGAAAAACAGAAACUAUCAAGGUUAAUGCGAUGUGAAUACAUACUUUAUUAUUUAUUAUUAUAUUUUUUUACUUUCCCGAGAAUAAUCUUCGUUAAAUUACAGUCACUCCUGAGGUAAUAUCAGUUAUGAAAAAAUUAAUUAUAUUUGGGUGGGUAUUUACAACUAUCCUUCAAUAAUAAAUUUUCUUAAAUAUUUUUAUUUUGGUGUUAGUGAGAUCUUCUAGAAUAUGUGGAAUAUUCGUCAGUUUGUACCCGUUUAAUUCUAUUCGAACUCCACAUUUUGUAACAAGAUGAUCAUAAGAUGUAUCUAUCGGUUUGUAAAUAUCAGAUUAUAGUGCAUCACAAACUGCAUUUUUUGCACAAAACGAGUACGAGCUAGACGAAUAUUCAUAGUUAAUGGUUGAUUGUAAUUACCCAAUCAUAAGAGUUUCUUUUUGUAAUUUUGACCUUACCUCGAGUGACCAUAAUUUACCUAAAUUAUUAUACAUUAAUAACAUGAGAUUUAACCAUUGACUUGUAGCGGAGACGAAAUCGGGUUAUAAUUUAAUAAAUGAAAUACACAAAUAAAUUACAUAUUUAUAUAAUAUGUUGAUCAUGAAUUUAAAAAGAAAUUAUGAUAAUUAGAUAGAAUGAAAGAUUAAUAAUAAAAGGAGAGUGGCCGUGACAUCCAACUCGCGUAGUGGAAAGAAAACAAAAGAUAGAAUAAGAAAAGACGUGGCCAAUAAAGAGGUGAAAUAAACAACCAAAGUUUGUUUGGACUUUUUAGGCUGCUUUUCUUAUGCCUUCUCUCUUAUGCACUUUGUGCUAUGUGUGAAUUAUUAUGAUGUUGAUUUUUUUUUAUUUUAAGUUUAACUGGUUCCAUGAUUUGGAUUAGUAUUAAUUAUAUUAGUAUUUUGUUAUGGGAUAACAUUUUAAAAGUGACAAAAAUUAUAAUAAAACUUGAGAGUAUUACACUUAUAGUAUUGUGACAAAAAUAACAAUUAUAAUAAGACAUAUAUUAUAAUAUUAUAAUGAAACUUAUUAGUGAUAUUUAAACCAUAGUAAAUAUAUUUAUAUUUCAUAUAAAUUUGAUAAUGCUAGCUCACUUGGCAAAAGAUUAUAUAAACUUCAUUUAUAAUAUGAAUUGAUCAUUAGAGAAAAUAAGUUGGAAAAUGUACUAAUAUUAAAAAAAUGAAAAAAAGGGCUAUCUGAUAUGAAAAUAAGAGAAUAUAAAAAUAUGAAGAAAAAGAAAAUUAUGAAGACGUCCUAGCGUAUAUUACUUUUAUAUAUAAGAUUAUUUCUCUAGUCUUCUUUAGAAUUUUUAUUUGAUCGAUUAGAUGGUUACAUUACAACAUGAUUCAUAUGAAGCAAUAUGUAAUUAUAUUUUACUUAUUGCACUAAUUAUAUAGUCAUUACAUUGUUUGAAAAUAAAGAUUAUAUUGAAGGGCCGUCUAUUUGAAAAGGGAAAUUAGAUGCUACACCCGAUUAUUUACAUUGGGAGAAUUUGAAGCGGAGAUUUAUACAUAAUCACGCAUAUCCAUGUAUAUGUGUGCUUAGUAGGUAAAUAUUUAAUCAAAUAUGCGGUUCAAAUCCAUUAAAAAAUUUAGGUGUAGCAUCUAAAUCCCCGUAUUUGAAAGGGUUUUUCGCCUUAGCGUAAGACACUCAAAGAAAAUUAUAUUUUUUACCCUCAAAUAAACAAAAUACCUCAAACAUAAACACACGAAUCUUCUUUGUGCAAGACCGCAUACAUACGAAAUCCACAAACCCACUCAUUUCUUAACAACUCACAAAUCAUCAUCAUGAUCCUCUUCUUCACAAAUCCAACACAAAACAUCGAAAUCCAAAACAACCAAAACAUCACAAAAGUUACACAAUGGAGUAAAUAAAAGCAAUACGGUAGUUUACAUGGAAGAAGAGCCCAAUGAGGUAUGUACCAAUGUCUUCUUUCAGCUUGUGAUACAAUCUCAAAGUAUCGCAAUAUUAUUAUGCAAGUAAGGAAGAAAUUUCAUAAAAUAAUUAUAUAUAUCCUUGAAAGAACACGUAAAAGGUUUAAAUAGGCUCCCAACCCUAGUUUGUAAAGGAAAAAACUUCUAAUCUAUUACGCUACUAAGAAGGCACUAACUAAGAACAUAAGGAAACAAAUACAUAAAUGAAACCAAUCAGCUUCUUCUACUCCUCAAAAAGUGGAUUUGGCUUUGGUGGCGCGUGAACUUCUACGAACCGUAACAUUCGUCAGCCCUUCAGAAGCCUCCUUGUCAUCAAGCGGAAAUGAUGGAAAGCAUCCUGCAAUAUUUCCCACAGCUUCCCACGUAGCAUCUUCAGCUGGCAAGGACCGCCAUUUCACUAGAACCUCUUGGACCUCACCUCCAUUGCACACCACCAGUCGUCUAGCGAGCGCCUUCUCUAGUUCAACCACCGGUCCACCAUCGACCGUAUAAGGUGGUAAUGUAGCGACUGACUUAGAUGCUCCCCCAUUUCCAUCAAAGAAAAGAGACAUGGAACACGUGGUGAAAGUGAGACAUAAAGCUCAAGAUGAUAUGCGACUGAACCCACUCAAGCCACAACCUGGAACGACCUAUAGAAUCGGCUAGAAAGCUUUUGAUAUACGUGUUUGAAAAUUGAGUGUUGUCUAUAAGGUUGUAAUUUAAGGUAAACCUAAUAUUGAACAUUAAAUUUCUCCUCAUGGCGAUGGCGGUCGGCGAUUUGUAUCAUACGGUUGCGUGCAACGCGAGAUUGUUUUUCAACUCCUUCAAUAUAUCAUCACGCGGUCGUAACUCUUGGUCCACGUCAUGCACUGCUGUCGAACCCGACAUAUAUUGAACCAAUGGUGGUGGCUUACGUCCAUACAAACAUUCAAACGGUGUCAUUCCAAUUGACUGGUGAAAUUUAAUAUCAUACCAAUAUUAUGCCCAUGCGAGAAAAAUUUCCCAAAGCUUUGGUUGCGAACUCACAAAGCACCGGAGAUAUUUAUUUAAGACUUCGGUUUGACCAUCCGAUUCAGGGUGAUAAGAUGUGCUUGUGCACAAAGCAGUCCCUUGAAGGAGGAAUAACCCUAGAAUUAAGCUGAUAAACACCUUAUCACGAUCAGACACUAUAGAAGUGGAGUACCAUGAAGAUUCACCACACCUCGAAAAAAUUCGUUGGCGACGUCUUUGAACAAAUAUGGAUGGGCCAAUGCCAUAAAAUGUGCGUACAUAGAUAAUCUAUCCACAAUCACAAAAAUCGUUUUUCCACCGCGCGACCAUGUUAGCCUUUCUAUCAAAUUCAUGCUAAUAUAUGUUCAUAUAGCCGCAUAAAUAGGGAGCGGUUGGAGUAGCCAGCGGAGUUUCCACAAAUCUACCUUAUUAGCGCGCGUCACAUCGCAACAAAUUUGCGAAUAGCACCACGAAGUCUAGGUCACCAAAAUUCAAUUUUAAUUUCAAAUCCAAUUUCCAAUUCCAAUUUUAAAAUCGAUCAAAUCUAAUUUUAAAACCAAACUCCAAUUUUCUAAUUCCAAUUUCAAAAUUGAUCAAAUCCAAUUUUUAAAUUAAAUUAAAAUUAAACCAACCCAAUUCCAAUUUCAUCAAUUCAAUCAAUUCAAUAACCUAUUCACAUGCAAUCGAAAGCAAUAAAAAUGUAGGCAAUUAAUUGCGCAAUCGUAGCUCUGAUACCACUGUUGGGAAUCGGGCAGGUGUACGCAACAGAAAAAAAAAAUAUUUAUAUAAACUAAUUUAUUUAAACAUACACGUGCACAAUAACUACAAUUAAUUGUGUACCUUUUCACUUCCAAUCACCGACAAACAUGCUCGUAUAUAUAAUUAAUUUAAAUAACGUAAAUUUAAUCAUCAUAGCAUGCUCGCGAAAUUAAAUCAAAUAAUAAACAUGCUCGCUCAACGAACGAUUCACAUGAACACAUUUAGAUUCAUGUGAUUCAAUAAUCAAUUAACAUACAUUAAUCUCAAUUAAUAUAAAUUAAUUAAUAUAUAUUUAUUAAUUAGGGAAAACGAGAUUUUACCCUUGAAGCGUGAAUCGAAUGAAGACUCGAGAAGAUGGCUAAGCUGUUCUUCCCACUCCUACUGACCCAACCUAUUUUCUGAUCUGAAAUUACAGGCCUCUUCCGACUUCAAUAUCUCCAUAGUUAUUGACUGGAUCGCAAAUUCUUUCUGAGGUACUAUAUAUCCAUGAGUCCGAAGCUUUUGUCAAAAUUUCACGUCCAUCCGAUCACCGUUUGAGUUAUGGCGAAUUUUCUCGUUGAACUGCGCAGAAAAUGCGAGAGCAGUUUUUCAGAAUUGCGUUCUCACAUCAGCGGCUUGUGGCGGCGCGUGAAGGCUCGUGAAGGCGAACCUGAUGGCGGCACAAGAAUCUUCCUCCUCUUAGGUUUCACCUCGUAUAUUUAAUCCAUUAUCCACGCAUCACUAGAUAUGUGAUAGGCUAAGUGAAACGAAGAAGAAUGAGGGGAAAAAGAAGAUGUCAAUGUGGCGGCAGGGUUUCGUCUGCAAGGUGGACUGCUGAUGGAGGAAGAGAGGCUAGGGUUCAUGCUUGUCUUGUGUGUUUCAUAAGAUAUAUAAAUUCUAUUUAUAUGGUCCUUGUGAAAACCCUAACAGACCUUAAGUGGCUAAGCCUAACAGUUUAAGCCCACUCUCUUUCUCGGCUCGUUUCUAACAAGCGAAUACUCGCAAAAAGUAUAACAAUUAUAUUUUGAUGAAGAGCACAUAAUUCUCGUCGAUACAAGUACUACUUUGCAAUUUUCCAAUUUCCAAAAUUGGAAACCUUAAUCUAGGACCUGUCAAAUCGGGAAACUUCCCAAUGUUUAAAGUUCACUAACUUUUCGUCGAAUUCUUUUCCUCUACUUAUUCUCAUUCGUAAUUAAUAAUUACAAAUGUUGGACUCAAUCACAUUGACUUCCAAUUACAGUAAGAUUAACUAAUUAAUCUUAGCUCGCUGCAUUAAGGAUCUUAAGUACACAAGCAGUGUGACUCUCGAUGGUUCAGGUGUAAGCUAGCCGUAACCCAUUGUGGUUUAAACUCGUCCCUAGAGUUAUAAUUAAGUUGAAGCUAGUUUCAACUUAACUACCCAACAAAUCAAGAUUGGCGUGUAGCAACUACGCGUCAUGAUUCCACAUAUACAAAUGAAGUGCCUGCAAGAACCGUGUGAUAUAGUUAACGUACAGUACGAUCCCUUCGAUACAUAUAUCUCGAUUGAACUAGAGGCAUUAGUUCAGCGAAACCUCCUUAUGAGUUUAAUAAAUGUGUAGAAGUUUUUAUUAUAUAAUCCGUUCGUGUUUGACUUAGAGAAACACAUUUCUCUAAUCACGACUCUUUCAGUUGUGGCCACAGAUUUCAUGGAUUAUAAAUCGUAAGAACACAAGGGAUAUCCAUGACUGAUCAUGUGAUCAAAUCCCCUACUACAAUGCACAUACUUCCCACUAGAUUUCGGACUGCACGAACACUGGCCCUUGGGGCGGUCCUCGGUGGAACUCAGGGACAGGUCACGAUACUGCUGGUCCUCUAGUGAAGUCACGGUGAUGUCUGGGUCUUAAGGAUUAAUGGUGUACAACUAUAUCGUAUAAACUUUUACUCGAAUUGGGAAUCACUUAGAGAUCUCUAGAUUGAGGGAAUUCAGUGAACUCAUCAACUUAUGAGAACACUUAUGUAUGCCGAUGUCACAACACCGUUCACUGAUGAGACGCAGUACAUAUAUACUACGUGCUAGUCUCGAACGGAAAGGUCGAUAUCCUCAUUAGUUGUGUAACCCGUUGAUUAGGACCUAUGUUUAACAUUUAGUAUACUUAAAUAAAUAAUCUUUCGAUUCUACUAGAUCUAUUUAUAGUAAUUAAGUAACUGUAAGGACUACAUCUAUGCUUAUGCAAGGGACAAAGAUAUAGAAUACCAAAGGGGUUUUCUAUCAUUAAUACGAAAUAGAUUAUUUAUGAGUAGCGUGAGAAAACACAACAAUUAGUUGGCUCUUCGGUCACCUACUAUAACAACAAGAUCAACAUACUUGAAUGGGUUCUCAUAAUAGAUGAGUUCAUUGAGCAUCCAUCGUGUUAGAAUCUAUAAGUGGUUCCAAUUAAUUAAGUAAAGAUUUUAUGUUUAUAGUAGAACAUCAUUAGUCCUUAGGGCCUAAUACGCCACCGUGACUUUACUAGAGGACCAGAUGUGUUGUGACUUGUCCAUGAGUCCCAUCAAUUUAAGAAAUCUGAAAUCUAGUAGGAGUAUGAUGCUUUAUGAUUAGGGAUUCGACCGCUUACCUGAGUGCAAGGAUGCCAUGUGUGUAAUUUCAGUGUAUAGUCCAUAGAAUCUUCGGCGAAAUAGAAAGUGGGGUGAUUAGAGAAAAUAAUUUAUCUUGAUCGAAUAUUAUUAUAGAUUUAGAACGUUCGCACGGUUAUCGAACAUUAUUAUAGGUCUUGAUUGGCUAAUGCCUCUAGUUCGAUCGGGACAUUUGUUGUCGCAUGGACCGUAUUGUACGUUAACUAUAGUUGAAGGUUAAUCACUACACCAUAUUGAGCAUUUUCUAUCAAUACAAAUUUAUAAUUUGUAACGGAUAUAUUCGUUAGAAAAUACUAACGGGAAAUAUUCGUUAGAAAUUUAAGUUAACCGUUACUAUUAAUAUUAAGUUAGCUUUAUUAAAUUAUAAUAAUUCAAAAAUUAUUUCUAACAUUUAGAAACCGUUAGUAAUAUGUGUAAAAACAUUGAAUUAUUAAAAAUAAAUUAAAUUACUUUUAUCAUGAUAAUAAAACUAGAAUAAUACGAUAUUUUUUUAUCCGUUUUUUCCCAUUAUACUUCACAGCGCCUCUCUCCCACUCUCCCUACUCUCCCUUCUCCUCUCACUCACUCUCGCUCCAUUAACGACGAAAAAGCAGUCAAUUCCGACUUCUUUCUCUCGCCUCCGCCACCACCUGACACUGAAUCGCUUUGAGUAAGAUCUAUUUAUCUCUUGUCAUUUUAAUUCUUCAACCGGGUUUUUUUAUUGUACACACCCUAAAUUAGAUUUGUUUUCAAAAUUAAUCGGGGAUUAUAUAAAAAUUAUUUAGGGUUCUUAAUCAUAUAAUGUUCAUUGCGAUGCUAUAAUUACCGAUAUGUGUUAUGUUGGUAGUUUCUAUACAAAUUAAAUUUAAUGGUGGAAUAAUACUUGUUAAAGGAAUUUGGAUUUUUUUGAAAAUUCUAGGAAUUUGGGUUUAAUGCAAGUGUUCCAUGAAAAUUGUUACACUAUGAUAAUAGAGUUGCUUUGGGGUCUAAACAAUUUUUUUUUUUUUUUUUUUUUUCUAGACAGUUGUGGAAGCUUCAACCUUUAGUUUCCUUGUAUUUGAUUGAAGCUUACCCAACUUGGAGUCCAUGUGAUCUAUUCGAUAAAUGGGCUAUUAAAUUUUUUGGUAUAAUUUGAUUAUUAUUUCUCUCCGUUACCGUAAAUUGUUAUUUAUAUUUGUGUUAAUAUAAUUAAUGAGUAAUGUAGCCAUGUAUAGUUGGAGAAUUUGUUAAGCAAGAAAGCUUAUGUUGGUAAAUAUUGCACAAACACUUCGAGAAAUACAGGUGGGAGUUAUGAAAAUAUAUUUUCUAGUUAGCUCCUUCUUCCUAUUAUUUAGCAAUGUUAAUAAAUCUUACUUUUUUCCUAUUGAAUUCAAUGUCAGUUACCUUUGACUGAAAUUUCUGUACUUAUGUGUUGGAAACAUAAAUAAUUUGUGAGGGAGGGCAAAGUAGAGCCUUGCAAUGACACAACGGCACCAGCAAGAGGGCACAACAGAACCGCCUGACAGGAGCACAUUAUCAUAUUUUAAGCAGGUUAGCAAAUAAUACAUGUUUUUUGGGACUCAAGCGAUGACAUGAAAUCUCGCUGCAAUUUUAAUUAUUUUAUUUGCUUGCUAAGUCAACAUAGAUUAGCAGGUAUCUUCAUGCCACAUACUAAUUCAUUAUAUCCUAUAUAGAGUCUUAUUAUUGUGUUCUUGGUUGGUCAUCAUUUAUGUUAUGACAUGUAAAUAUCUGCUCUACUUCCAUGCUCUAUUGUUCUCUCCUGAUGUUAAAUUCAAAAUCAAAAUCUCACUUUGCCAAAAGUAUAAAAAAGUUGAUAGUUCGGUAGAGAGAUUGGAUGAAAAUAAGAAUACUAUCAUUCAAGAUUCUAAGACCCAUCUAAGUGAUCCGUGUUUAUGUUCUUAACGAAUGGUGUACGAUCAAAAAAUACAAAUCUAGAUAUAGAUAAUUGCAUCUGUUUUACUUUGCUUAUGCGAGUGCGUAAUUUUUUUUCCAGAUAUUUUAUAACAUAAUGCUUAAUCUUUUCGUUGAAAAUCAUGUUCCGUAGUAUUGAAUAUUUUCAGGGGAAACCAACUAUUGUAUACAAUCAGCUAUCUAUUAUAUAUGAACAACCUCUCCAUAAUGGUAUGAAAUUGCAUUUUCUCAUACAACAUGUUAUUAAUUGAUAAUAAAAUAAAUAAAAUGAAAUUUUCAGCUUGUUCUGGUUUUGUGAUUUUGCUCUCAGGAUCUCCAAAGCACCUGGCAACAAUUGGAGCAAAAAAUAUUUGAAAGAAGUAGCAAAAACAGGUUGGACAUAUAAAUUCAUACUUAUAAACGUUGAAAUUGAUGUACUCUUUUUUCUUUUUCAUUUUUUUUCUUUUUUUUUUUCCGGUUUACAUGGAUUAUUUAAUUUUUGAUUCAUGUGUAGGAAAGUUAUUGUACUAGUUGAUGGUACAAGAGAUUGUUUUGAUACUUUUGUUAACGGUGGAGACUUUAUUGUAAUAGUUGAUGGUAAAUAGAUUUUUUUUGAUACAGGGUUGCAUUAUGGAGAAUUCAUUGCAUUAUGAAUUAAUAUUUUUUUUAUUAUUAUUUUUAGUUUUUCUAAUACAAAUAUCUGUUAGAAAUUUAGCAAAAAAUGUUACAAUGAGAACCGUUACAAUUACACUUCUAUCGGAUAUAACCGUUAGAAAUUUUAUUUUUUCUAACGAAUUUUCAUUUUUUUUCUAACGGCUUUAUCCGUUAGCAAUGUUUGGCUCUAAAUUUCUAAAGCAGUAUUUCUAACGGUUUUUCGCCAUUACAAAAAAUAAUACUAACUGAUAUAUCCGUUAGAAAAGGGCUUUUUUGGUGUAGUGAAUGCAGACACUUCAUUUUUAACUAGGGGAUCAUGACACGUAGUUGUUAGGCAUCAUCAUGAUCCAUUGGGUUUGAACCGAUAAGAUCGGCCAUUGAGAUAAAAAGAAGUUCUAAUCUCAAUCGGGACACAUGAGAUGAGUCCGUAUACGAACAAAGAUUUGUUCGAAUCACAAAUGGUUGUGAACCCACGUCUAGCUUACACUCGAACCAUUGAUGGUUACACUUCUUGUGGUGAGGAUUCCUUACUAUGCUGAACUAAGAACAAAGUUGUUGCUUUAGCAUGUUCGAAUAUUAAUAUCAUCAACUAUGAAGUUCGUAAUAGUUGAUUACGAAAUAAAAAAUGGAGAAAAUAACAUUUCCAAAGUUAUGGACUAGAUUUUUCAAAUUGGGUUUACCAUUUGGCAGGUCCUGAUUUGGGCGUUUCCAUUUUCCCAAAAUGGAAAAAAUGCAAUAUGGUACUUAAGUCAACGAGGACGUUUCCCUCGUCAUGAAUAUUUAAUCGUUACAUUCUUUAUUCAAUUUAAUAGUUGAAAAAACGAGGGAUUGAAGAAAUGUUCUUUAAAUCAUGACGGACUUGGGAUUCUACUAUUCUAGGGUUGCAAAAGAAUUCCGCCCUAUAAAUAUAUAACUUAAGAGGGAGAGAAACACAAUUCUAAGGGAAAUAAAAUUCAUGCAUCCCCCUUUUAGAGUGUCGUCCCUGCUCUUUCUUUUUAAUUCCCGGGUUUUUGACAGAUUCCCUAAUAAUCUGUUAAAAAUCCGAAUUCACCAUAUCUAACCGAGGCCUAUCAAGUGCUAAUUCUCAGUGGCAAAACCUCGACAAGGUGAAGCCCGAUUCCAACAUUGAAGAAGGCAUGAAAUUGAUCCAGCAAGGGCUUCGAUGUGACAAUAGAAUUGAAGAAGAAAAGCAACACGAAUCUUUUUUUUUUUAAUAUCGUCCAAUUACAUGCGAUUAGAUUUUAUUGAAACAUUAAACAUAUUUAUAUGCUUACGUUCAACAUGACAGAUAUAUAUUCUCUAUAGAAUUCAUAAUUGAAAAAAAAAAUCAAAGUUUCGAUGCAUACGGUAGCAUGCGAUUUUCCAACAAUUUCUAUGAAUUAGACGUUCUCCAUCGCCUUUGCAUAAUUGGAGCACGAAAGGACAUACAGUCAUGAAUGGUUUUAGCGUAUCUUGUUGAAGGAAAUGGAAAAGUGUCAUCCAACAAAUAUGUUGAACGUAUGUACUAUACUAUGUCGAUCACAACUUAUAUUAUAUUGACCGCUAGUAGUAUAUUGGAAAGUGGCAUGCGGCGACGGCUGCGGCAUCGGACUGACAUCCUAAAUUAGUAAAUCAGUAAAAAAUCAGGGUUAAAUUAGGACUUUGACAGAUGAAAUUGAAGUAAUAUUAAAGUUUGAGGAUAUUUUUGUUAUUGAUGGUAUUUUAAGUAAAAUAUGUUUAUGUCUGAACUUUUAGAUAAAAAAAUAUUUUUAUAUGGACAUAUUCACAAGGAAUUUGAUCUUUAUAGGUAUAAAAAAUUUCACCAUAAGUAUAAUACUAACGCAAUUUUUUUUUUUUUUUUGCUGAACUAUUUGUUAUUUUGUUAAAUCUUGGAUUUAUUGUGACAUGUGAUGACACUAAUACCAUCACCCCAAUUCUAAGUGCUGACCAUAGAUCUCUCUUUCAUAUUGAAAUCAUUAUGGGCCUAGAUGAUGUGUCAUACACUGCUAUGUAACUUUUCUUUUUCCAUAUUAUAUUGCUAUGAUAAUUACUUUUAUAAUUGGUUAAAUAACAUUACACCGUCUAAAUUAUUUUAGUUUUUGUAGGUUACCAUCUUAAUAAAACAAAUUCUCAAUCGGAUCUAAACUCAAAAAAUUGUAUCAUGUGAAUAUUUGACUCAUUUACGAGUCAAAAUGGCCAGGAUUAAACCCAUGCCCUUUGCUCAUGCGAGUUGAAAGGGAUUUUGUGUCUUUUUGAAAUCACAAGCCUGCAUUUUCUUUUAUGUUUCCCCAACUUUCGCAUAAUGCAUUUCCUCUCGUUUUUCAAUCUUUCGUCUUCUUCUUUUGUGCUCAAUUUUUCAAGAUUUUUCUUCUUCUUUUUGGGUCAAGCUUCAAAAGGGCACUAGAACUGACCUUUAAACAUAAUCAUGCGCUAAAUUUGACGUCGGAUAUCUUCGAACACUUUGGUUCUAUUAGCUAAAAACGCUAACGAUUUUUGCAAUUCCAGGAACUAUUGCUUAUUGUGAGUGGUAUCAAUAAUUCUCCGACAACAAAAGAUUUUUCAAGAAAAUUCUGAUUGGAUUUUAUUUAGGGGUCAUUUGAUAUACACCCCUAAUAUGGAAAAAUAUAUAGGGAUUGGUUGACCCCUAAAAUUCUUUCUUUGAGAUACUCCCUGAAGAGGCAAAAAGACUAUGAUGCCCUUACAUGCAAUUUUUGCCUCGAUUGCAUUCAACAUUUCCACCAACUGCAUUUAGCAUUUUUUUAUUUAUUAUUUUUUAUUUUUUCAAUAUUUUUUAUUUAAAAAAUCAAAUAUAAAUUUAAUUUUUUUUUUCUGGUUUUCUUUCUCUCGAAAAAUUUACUAUUUCAAAUAUGACAUUAUAUAUGACUAUAGUCGACUAUAGUCAUAUUCUUGCUUUAUAUUACCGUUUUUUUUUUUUUUUUUUUUUUUUUACAUUUCAACUUAAAAUUGUAUAUUUUCGAUUAUAUAGUGUAGCUCAGUCAUAUUUAACAAAUUAUAUAAAAAAUAAAGACUAUUAUUUAUGAAAAAAUUCAAUCAACAUUCAAAAAAAAAAUUAAAAAAAAAAAAUCAUAAUUUGAACUUGGUAUUACAAGUCAACUUGCAUUCCCACAAUAUAUCCAAAAAAUCACCCGUGUAAAUUCUUCAACUAAAACAACCAUCAGCAUCACUGUACCUUUUUAAAACAUUACAUUUCUUAUAUAUGACUAUACAUGACUAUGUAUGACUGACUAUGACUACAUAUGCUUGGAUAGGGACAAUAUCGAUUUUCGCCAAUUGGCUUGCUGUUUGCCCAUCUUGCUUCGAUUCGGACUUUUUUGUUGCAACUGAAUGGGACACAAGAAAAACUAGAAACAGACUGAGAUCGAGAGGAGACAAUAUGGAGAAAGAUAUUUAACCUCAGAACAUGGGGCCGGAGAAGGACUCGAAACAAUUGAUCAAACAACAAACACACAAAAUUCGAAACAAAUAAAAAAGUAAAAAAUAAAUAUUCCCUUACUUUGUUCUCAGAUCUCGCGGCAGCGGCAAAGACUCGACAACAGCUCCUAUCUGUCGUCUUCCCUGACUUUGGCCUGUUGAAAAUAUGCAGAUAUGACGACGUGGCACAAAAAAAUGAGUUCAAGUUGUAUCGUGCAAUUGUUUUUAUUCAGAUGGCAAAGUGCAAAUCGAAAAAGUAUAGAGGUAAACUACUAUUCACCGUUUACAAGUAUUUAUAAACACCCUUCAAGUCUAAUUUCAUUUUAUAUCAUGACAAUCAUAUAUUUCUAUUUUGCUAAAAGUCCAUCAGGCAGCUUAGUUAGAGAGUUUAGACUGAAAAUAGACAUUGUAGGCUGAAAAUACCCUAUUCUUCAUAACCCGGUUCAGCCUAAUAAACACAUCAGUUCAAAAAAUGGCGUUUACCACUCCACGGCCUCUCCCUACCCGUCCCUUGCCGUUAACCACCUAAUUUUCACCAACCACGUCACUGAAAAAUGAUAUUCUCAGCGGUCUAGAUCUCAGUCCUCGAUUCGGUCUAAGAUGUUUGCAUUUAGUCCAAGUUCUCUAACUAACAUGUUCGUUUUAAGUUCAGGUUGUCUGUUUCAGACUAAGCUCUCCAUCUAGCACUAGUAGAAAAAUGUAUUUUUACUACGAUUAUUAACCGUAACAAAAGGUGUCAAAUUCGUACUAAAAAGGCUUUUGCUAUGCAUUUGCUACGAAUUUGCCCCGUAGCAUAUACGGGCGUGACAAAAGCUUUGCUACGGUAAAUGGUCGUACCAAAUAUUUUUUUGCUACGGUAAAUCCUAGUAUUUACUACGACUUCAAAAUUGUUCCGUGGUAAAAAGUACCUUUUAUUACGGAUAGUUACCACAGCAAAAAAUUUCGUAGUAAUAAGCAAAUUUUCUACUAGUGUAGGUUGUCCACUUUCAAUCUAUUUUCAGUAUAAGUUGUCUAACUAAGCUAUCCAAUGGACUUUUAGCAAAUUCAAAUAUUCAAGCAAAUUGUUAUCUAUACAAAAUAUUUUUGCGUGGUUUUAACCGAUUUUCCCAAAAAAUAAUGGAUGUACACAUUUAUUCUUUAUUAGUUUAUAGUUUAUUUUUCCCCUUCCACCCCUCCCCGACCCCCACCCCACCCAAACCUGUCCAGUGUGAUGGAACAAUCCAAAUAAGAAACGAAUACCAAAUAAAGGUUGAAUUAUAAGGAUGAAGAUAAUCCUAUCUAAAUUACGACACACCUCAUUCCUAUAUGUCUUAUUGUUGAACAUUCCAUAACAUUUUUAUUAUAACAUUUUUAUCAAAGAUUAAAUUAACCGCGAAAUUUGUUUUUAUGAAUGUGUUCUUAAAAAAUGAUAAAACAAAAUAAAAAAUAGAACAUUUAUUUUCCAAUAUUAUUAAUUUACUUCAUUAUUUUAAUAUUCUAGUGAAGAAUAAAGAUAAUAUUUAAUGAGUUUGAAUUCAAUUUUCAGUUGAAAUUGCAUUUUAUAAAGGAAGUCCCCGUGGUAUUUUAAAAUGGGGUUUUGUGCAUAAGUCCCCAACCAAGUAUCUUUAUUAUUCUAGGUUUAUGGGCUAUAUUUCCUUCACCAAUAAGCCCAUCCAUUUAAUAUUUAUUAUAAAUAAAGGAAACAUACAUGUAUAUGACAAUAUUACCCCCAACCCCUUAUACCCAAUUCUUAAUUGUAACCCCAAUUUAAUCAAUUUUGUCCACAAAAAUCCAAUUUCGACCACAAAAUCCAAUUUUGACCUUUUUUUUUCAAAAUUUUUUUAUUCCCGCCGGAUUCCGGCGUUGACUUUUCGAUUUUUUUUUUCUUCCAGAUUUUUCGCCGGUUUCCGGCGUUGAUUUUUUUUAGUGUUUUUUCAAGUUUUUUUUUUUUUUGGUUUUUUUUUCUGUUACGUCCGCCGCUAAACGUUGACCGUAAUAGUGCUGUCACUGACAGUAAAUUAACGUAAUUAUACUGCCGUUGACAAUACAUUUAUGUAAUUGUUCUGUCGUUGACAGUAAAUUAACGUAAUAUUAUUAUUUUUUGGGUUUUUUGUUUUGUUUGAGUUAUUCACGGAGUAACGUAAUACUAUUACUGUCUAUUGUUGUAAUAUUACUGUAAACACAAUAAUAUUAAUGUGGUUGACAGUAAUAUUAUUGUUGUUAUAGUAAUAUUGUUGUCAACCAUAUCAAUAUUAUUAUAUUGUUUGGAUUUUUUUGUUGGUUUGAGUUAUUCACGGAGUAACGUAAUAAUAUUAUUGUUUAUUAUUAUAAUAUUACUGUGGUUGACGGUAAUAUUACUGUUGUUAUAGUAAUAUUACUGUCACUCACAGUAAUAUUAAUUCAUUUGAUUUUUUAUUAUUUUACAUUUGUUGAACGGUCAACAUAGUAAUAUUAUUCUAUUACACAAUAAUAAUGAGUUUUGUUCUGUUAAUAUUACUGUACUAGAGAUUACUAUAGCAAUAUUACUGUGUUAAACUGUAGUUUAGUUAAUUUUACUGUGUUUAACUGUAAUAUAGUUAAUAUUACUAUCAAUCACAGCAAUAUUGUUGUUUAAACAAAAAAAAAUGUUACAAAAAUAAAAUAAAAAAAAAUCGAAAAAGUCAACGCCGCCGGAAACCGGCGAAAAUAUCCAGAAGAAAAAAAUAAUAAUAAUUUUUUUUUGAAAAGUCAAUGCCUGAAUCCGGCGGCAAAAAAGUUUUUUUGAAAAAAAACAUGUGGGUCAAAAUUGACUAAUUUGUGAAAUUUGGGGUCAAAUUGCGGUUAAAUUAGAUUAAGGAUGAAAUUGGAGCAUAAUAAAGUAUGAGGGGCUAUUUUAGUCUUUUACAAAAAUCUGGACCAUGUAUAACUUAUUUGUAAAAGAGUUUUUUGUCUGUAAUUGUUCUGUCGUUGACAGUAAAAUAACUACAUUUAACUAUAGUACCUAUAGUAAUUCAUAGUUAUGUUCGUCUUUUUUCCCCAUAUUUUUAAUCGAUCAAUUGUAUACACACACGAAUACUGACUUAUACAAAAUAAAUUCAUAAAACCCCAACAAAAAUUUACAAAUUUCAAUAUUUUUAUAAUAAAUCACAUCAGAACCAAUAAAGUACAAAUCGAAAAUGCACAAAUAUAUGCAUAUGUAACUACAUGUUACUAUAGUAAUGUAUAGUAAUGUACAGUAAUGUAUACAGUAUGUUGAACAAAUCAGAUGUAACUUCAAAAAAAAAAUUUGACACCUUCAAGGAAAGGAUCAAUGGCCUUCAUUAAGCUGCAAUUGCAAAAUCAAAAACAAAAAGAAAUUAUUUUAGUGCAAAUCAACAAAAUUUGAAGAAAAACAUCAAAACACUCAAAAAUCAACAAACACUAAGAGAUCGAGAGAUAGAAAGAGAGGUUAUUGCUGGGAAAUGCUACAAAUUUUAAAUCAAACAGGCAGUGACUCCUCACCCCCCUCGCCUCCUACCAAAACCCUAGACGCCGCUAAUAACCACCCACGGUUCCGCGCGCCCACAAAUGCAAAAAAAUAUAGAAAUAAAUCUGAAAACAUAAAAAUAAAUGAAAUUACCAUCAAAAUAUAGAUCCAACGGUGGGCGACACGUCAAAUUUCGACGGGUGGAACACAAAAUAAAGCUCCGGCAAGACCACCGUUCUCGAAUGAAAAAAAAUUGCAGAAUCAAAUCAGCGCUCGUAACUGAAUGAAAUCACCACCAAAAGAAAGAGCUCGACGAGAGGAAUCCAACGGUAGUUAAACCAUCGAAUUUCGACCACCGAAGAGAGAGUUAUGGCUCCAGGAAGCAAUUUUGCCCGUGGGAGGUUUGUGGAGGCGGGAUUUUGAAUCUGGGAGAAGAAGAGCGAGACCGUGAGUGGCUAGGGUUAAAACUGAUUUAUAAGGGUAUUAUAUGAACUUCAGGGUAGCACAGGGGGGUAUGUCAAAAUAUUUUCGAAAUGAGGGGGGUUUAUCCUAGAGUGUAAUCCACUUGUUAGUUAGUUCUAUAUAAUUUGGAAAUGAGGGGUCUGCAAAAUAACCCCAUAAAAUUAAUUAUACAUAAUCUCAAAGUAGAACAAUGUAAUUUACGAAAUAUUUGAUUGAAUAGUAGUAUAUAGGAAAUUCGAAAAAUUCAAUAGUCAAAUGAGUGAAGAGUAAGGGCUCCUUUGAUAUGAUUCAGUACCGAAUGCUGAAUGCUGAAUAUAGAUCUGAAUGACUAAGAGCAGUGUCUGAAUGUUGAAUGGUGAACAAUUAAGUCUAUUUGGUAUCUGAAUAUCAAUAAUGUCUGAAUAUUAUUAUUUUCCUGAUAUGCCCUUAUGCAAUGCUGAAAAUUUAUCUGUUAAUUAAGUUUGAUUUGCAUACGUGAAUAAACACAAUUUUUUAAUUUGCUACUUAAUUAUUUAAAAAAUAAAUUUAUGGUGGACAUUAAACAUUUUGAUAUAAAAUAAUUCUAAAAUAAUGAACACAAAUAAAUUUCAAAUUUAAAUCUUAAAGUUUAAGCAACUAAUAACAAUAUUCUAUCUAAAUAAUGGAUUUUACGAUAUUUUGUCUAAAGAAUAAUAAUUUAUUUACUAGCCUGAUUAUUAAUAAAAGAAUAAUACAAUUAUAACUAAAAUCAACAAAUUGAAGAGCUAACUGUAAAAGAUAAAUAGCGGCCAAAUCAUAAAAUAAUUCAUCCAAAAUACAAAAGCAAAAAAUAUUAAUUAAUUUGUGGCCACAUCUUCUUUCCAAUAACAUGUGAGUUUCAAAAUUUACCAGCAAAGAGAGGAGAGUUGUUGGAAUAUUAAAUUAUUUUAUAGGGUCAAUAUGUCAAAUGCAUUCAGCGUAUAUUCUGAAUGAAUAAGCGUUAGUUUUGCGGCUGAAUAGGUAAGUUGUUAACAGUGUUAUUAAGAGAUCUCCACCAAAUACACUUAAUAGGAUGUGGUCUGACUGAAUAAGACCUUGAGCUCAAUCAGAGCUCAUUAAGAAGCUAUCAAACAGACCCUAAGUUCUUGUCAAUCCACACUCAAAAACAAAAAUAAAUAAACAAAAUCCUAUCAAUCCUUUUGGGAUUAUUAUUAUUAUUAUUAUUAUUAUUAUUAUUAUUAUUAUUAUUAUUAUUAUUAUUAUUAUUAUUAUUAUUAUUAUUAUUAUUAUUAUUAUUAUUAUUAUUAUUAUUAUUAUUAUUAUUAUUAUUAUUAUUAUUAUUAUUAUUAUUAUUAUUAUUAUUAUUAUUAUNNNNNNNNNNNNNNNNNNNNNNNNNNNNNNNNNNNNNNNNNNNNNNNNNNNNNNNNNNNNNNNNNNNNNNNNNNNNNNNNNNNNNNNNNNNNNNNNNNNNCUUCGGUAUACUAUUAUUAUUAUUAUUGUUGUUGUUGUUGUUGUUAUUAUUGUACUUGCGCUUGAGAAACUUCUCUUCCUUGUUGUUAACAGAAAAUGAUUUCACCCUGUAAUCAUCCAAGUCUUCAGGUUCGGCACGAGCAUGUAGAGGUGUGUAAUUUACCAAAGUACCCUUUGUCCUCCAACGUGAUCCACAUGCAUUGCACAGUACUGGCUUCUCAGGCGGCCCGUUACGCCAAAGUGGGGUACCUGUUUAUUACACACAUGUUUCGUUAGAAGGAAACACAAUGACAAGUAUCCAUUCAUCCACAUUUGUAAGAAUACGAUUAGCAAGUGUUUGGACAAUGUAGUUAACGAAGAAUGAUAUACUAAUUCAUGAUCAAGAUCCUCACAAUAGUACCAUUGCGUCAAAACGCAUGUUAAAAAAUUUCAACAAAAUCGGUUUUAAAGUUAAAAGAGUCGAAACAUUUAAACGAGGACAGCAAACUCAAACUAGUUCAUUUAGACACGCAACUAUGAUCAAACAGAGUGUUUCAUUUAUUCGAUGCACAUUCAUGUCAUGUCCUAGUAUUGUUAGUUCGUGUUUCAUAUGAUCGAUUACUAGAAUCAAGAAUCGACAGUCAAACAGUCAUUUGCAACAGCAAAGUCUAUCUAACAGGAAGACAAGAACCAAUGACGAAGUAUUGUUCAUUGUCUUCAAUAUCAUAAAUAUCAACUGGGGAAAAUGUUCAUAUAAAUCACAGAAAAUUAANNNNNNNNNNNNNNNNNNNNNNNNNNNNNNNNNNNNNNNNNNNNNNNNNNNNNNNNNNNNNNNNNNNNNNNNNNNNNNNNNNNNNNNNNNNNNNNNNNNNGAAGAAUAUAUAAUCAAAUUAUUGAAUUGAAACCCAAAAAAGAAAGAAAAGUCACUUGUCACACCACAGUGAUAGCAAGGUCCAUGCUUUCCCAUGUCCUAUUUCUUUUUUUCUUCCCUUAAUAAUAUCAAAUACAGCCUUUCAAUCAAAAUUCACCACUUCUUUUUUUCUUUUUUUUUUCUUUUCUUUUUUUAAUUAAAGAUGAACAAAAAACAGUUUCCUCCUCAAAAAACAAAUUGGAAGAUAGAUACAGACUUUAUUGUUUUUCUUAAUUUAUUGGACUUGUGUAAAGCAUAUGCUUCUGGGUAUCAAAGCUUUUUUUCACAGCAAUUAAACCCAGAAAAAAGAAUUUGUAAACAAGAAGAAAUCAAAACAAAAUUAAAAAAAAAAAAAAGAAGCCCACUAAAACAGCAUACUCUCUCUCCACACCCAAAUGAAGGAAGGUCAAAACCAGAUGGGUUGUAUGUAUAUAUAAAAUAUAUAGAAUAUAUAAUCAAAUAGAGACAAGUGAAAAAACCAUUGAAGGAAUCUAAAAUAAUUGUUGAAGAAAGGAAAGGUGAAAAUGGGAAAAGGAGAGAGAGAGAGGAGGCUGUUUCUCUCUACAAGACUUCUUUCUUCUUUCUUAUUGUUUUUGGGUUUGAAGUAAAUGUUUCAGCUUUUCUUACUUCUAUAUUAUUU
Molecule: long non-coding RNA, 19573 nt
Filed under: Erythranthe guttata (spotted monkey flower)
Lineage: Eukaryota; Viridiplantae; Streptophyta; Magnoliopsida; Lamiales; Phrymaceae
Description: long non-coding RNA (EGUT_LNC003870)
Source: RNAcentral